Oryzias melastigma (Indian medaka) is the source of this 768-nucleotide long non-coding RNA. RefSeq lists it as uncharacterized. The record is from RefSeq and is a predicted model, not a curated record. The transcript has 3 exons. Lineage: Eukaryota; Metazoa; Chordata; Actinopteri; Beloniformes; Adrianichthyidae.
AAUCACCCCGAGGGCCGGAUCCGGCCCCCGGGCCUUGACUUUAACACAUGGGGUCUAGAACAUUGACAGCUGCAGAGAAAAACUACAAGUUACUGUGGUGAGUAGGGCACGCCUACUAAUUAUGAGGCAGCAGGACAGACUUGCUGAUUGGGGGAAUAUGCUUUUAAAAGCCCUUCCCGUUCGCUUUCUGGCAUGAGCUUUUUCGGCUGCCAGUCACUAGGAAGUGGGAACUCCAGUACACAGGCAGAUAAAGUGGGCUCUGUGAGCGCGCAGAUUUAAAUAUGGGCUGGAAAUUUACUAGCUUACUUUCCAGUUCCUUUACAUAAACGGUCGGCUGGUGCCUCGGCAGUGCGGCUGCAGAACAGAGUCUGCAAGCGUGACGGACUGUUGCCUUAACCCGCUUCCUCUCGGUGACCGGUGAGUAAGUGCUGCUGCUUUGCCACUGUUAUUUCCUGGUUCCGGUCCGGAUCUCCCCUCUUCCCUCGCCGUGUUGGGAUGGAGUUGGAUGGACACCUGCAGCAACGGUGGAGACCGUGUGUGCAUCGGCAUCUGGCUGGACUGUGGACUGACACCUGUCGUACAGCGUUGGCCGUCGGGCGGCUUACCUGGCCCCCUUGGAGGUUGGAGCUCGAGGUGGACGGCUGCACUGGUGGCGGGUUCCUGUGUGACCUUCUAUCACGAGUGCAGUGCAUCACACUCCUGGGUGUUUGUUUUUGUUUAGUUUUUGCUGUAGUUCUUGCCAUCUCGGUAAGCUCCUCCUCCUGAACA